This 285-nucleotide unclassified non-coding RNA is filed under the name plant metagenome. RNAcentral describes it as "partial contains small subunit ribosomal RNA, internal transcribed spacer 1, and 5.8S ribosomal RNA". The stretch from base 1 to 54 matches the Rfam family "Eukaryotic small subunit ribosomal RNA", at positions 1778 to 1831 of the family's 1831-position model. The record is from RNAcentral.
GGAAGUGAAAGUCGUAACAAGGUUUCCGUAGGUGAACCUGCGGAAGGAUCAUUAUUGUAUAACCGAGGUGCGAGGGCUGUCGCUGACCCGAAAGGUCGUGCACGCCCGAGUGCCCUCACACACAUCCAUCUCACCCCUAUGUGCACCACCGCGUGGGUCCCCCUUUGGCUUGUUCGGAGGGGGGCUUACGUUUUCACACAAACUUUGUAUGCAGUGUAGAAUGUAUUUUUUGUUUUUGCGAUCACGCAAUCAAUACAACUUUCAACAACGGAUCUCUUGGCUCUC